RNAcentral lists this ribosomal RNA (293 nucleotides) under uncultured bacterium. RNAcentral's name for it is "partial 16S ribosomal RNA". The record is from RNAcentral.
GGACUACCGGGGUUUCUAAUCCUGUUUGCUACCCACGCUUUCGCGCCUCAGCGUCAGGAAUCGACCAGCUUGCUGCCUUCGCCAUGGGUGUUCCUCCUGAUAUCAACGCAUUUCACCGCUACACCAGGAAUUCCACAAGCCUCUUCGAUCCUCAAGCCCGCCAGUAUGUAAAGCAGUUCCUGGGUUGAGCCCUAGGGAUUUCACUUCACACUUAACGAGCCGCCUACGCGCCCUUUACGCCCAGUAAAUCCGGACAACGCUUGCACCCUACGUCUUACCGCGGCUGCUGGCAC